AGUGAACGCUGGCGGUAGGCCUAACACAUGCAAGUCGAACGGCAGCACAGUAAGAGCUUGCUCUUACGGGUGGCGAGUGGCGGACGGGUGAGGAAUACAUCGGAAUCUACUUUUUCGUGGGGGAUAACGUAGGGAAACUUACGCUAAUACCGCAUACGACCUACGGGUGAAAGCAGGGGAUCUUCGGACCUUGCGCGAUUGAAUGAGCCGAUGUCGGAUUAGCUAGUUGGCGGGGUAAAGGCCCACCAAGGCGACGAUCCGUAGCUGGUCUGAGAGGAUGAUCAGCCACACUGGAACUGAGACACGGUCCAGACUCCUACGGGAGGCAGCAGUGGGGAAUAUUGGACAAUGGGCGCAAGCCUGAUCCAGCCAUGCCGCGUGGGUGAAGAAGGCCUUCGGGUUGUAAAGCCCUUUUGUUGGGAAAGAAAAGCAGCAGGUUAAUACCCCGCUGUUCUGACGGUACCCAAAGAAUAAGCACCGGCUAACGUCGUG
RNAcentral lists this ribosomal RNA (492 nucleotides) under uncultured bacterium. Its description in RNAcentral is "partial 16S ribosomal RNA". It matches the Rfam family "Bacterial small subunit ribosomal RNA", at positions 29 to 507 of the family's 1533-position model. The record is from RNAcentral.